Zea mays is the source of this 1661-nucleotide RNA transcript. RefSeq lists it as uncharacterized. NCBI's taxonomy places the organism in Eukaryota, Viridiplantae, Streptophyta, Magnoliopsida, Poales, Poaceae. The transcript is spliced from 6 exons. The record is from RefSeq and is marked validated.
GCCGCGCUCAAAAGCAGCAGCGCACGCACCACCACCACCACCGCACCACCAUCCGCCUCGCUCGCACUGACAGACAGGCAGGCAGAGAGAGAGAGAGAGCGCGAGCCGGAUUGAUUGCCGAGGGCAGAGCAGCGGCAGAGGGAGCAGCAACAGCAACAGUCCACGACCGAUCGCCCGGCCCGCGCGCAGGCAGGCAGCAGCCAUGAACCACCUGACGCCGGCGCUCCACGGGGCGAUGCGGCCGCCCUCGGCGCAGGGGCAGGGGCUGGCCCGGUACGGCUCCGCGCCGGGCUCGCUCCUGGCCGCCAUCGCCGACUCCGUCACCCGCGGCGACCCCGCGCCGCCGCCGCCGCCCGUGAGCCGGUUCUACUCCGCCGAGUCCUCGGGGCUCACCUCCUGCGACUCCAGCUGCCGCACCGACUGCGGACGCCCGCCCCUCGAGCGGGCGUACGGCGGCUCCGGCGAGAUCCGCGUGCCGCCGCCGCUGCAGCAGCAGCAGCACCACCUGCUGGCUCCCCCCGCGGCCUCCCCGCUGUUCCGCCACAGCAGCUCCCCCGCCGGGCUGCUCUCCCGCCUCAUGACCGACCCGCACGGAAUGGCGGCGAGCGGAGGAGCGAUGGGGAGCUACACGCAGGCGGGCAGCGACGCCGCGCUGGGCCCCGGCCACGGCCACGGCCACGCGCAGCUCAGCUCGCAGUGGAGCUUCUCCAGGCAGGACCUGCCGCAGAUCUCGGAGAUGGGGAUGAUACCGGCCGACAUCGGGGAGAGCAUCGUGGGCGCCGGCGGGUGCAACAGCUCCAGCGACGCCGCGCAGUCCUCCUCCUACCUCUCCAGGACCUUCUCCGUCGGCUCCUGGGACGACACCAACUCCAUCAUGUUCUCGUCUGCCCCCUGCAAGAAGCCCAAGGUGGACCCCGCCGCCGGCGCCGACGACAUGGUCACCAACUUCAGCACCAUUGACCCGCAGUUCGGCCUGUCCAACUCGUCCCUGGAGCUGCCCGGCAUGGACGACUACCUGCAGCUGCAGCAGGACUCCGUCGCCUGCAGAGUGCGUGCGAGGCGUGGCUGCGCGACUCACCCACGGAGCAUUGCCGAGAGGGAAAGAAGGACGAGGAUCAGCAAGAGGCUGAAGAAGCUGCAAGACCUCGUGCCCAACAUGGACAAGCGUGUUUAUUGGUGUUUCUCGUGAACACGCAGCAAACGAAUACGUCGGACAUGUUGGACCUUGCUGUGGAGUACAUCAAAGAGCUCAAGGACCAAGUUGAGAAGCUAAAACACGACCAAGCAAACUGCUGUUGCCUAGGCAACAAGAGCUGCUGCUGAUGCUGGAGAAGCAGACGGAGGAGGGUUUUUACGCCGUAACAAUGUGACUGUUAAACCAGAGCUGUUGCUUCAGGAGACCAGGCCGCGGGCAGAAGUGCGUGACAUGUGGAGCGGCUUCCAUGACUCAGCUUCCUCUUUUCUUGGUUGUUCCACGGACUAGCGACCGGGGUGCCAACGGCUUGAAGACUAGGAGAUAACAAGUAGGACGAUGUUGUAAUUUAGUUACCGCGACGCGGUGGCUCUGGCUUUCGUGUAAAGAAGUCCUCCCUUUCAACGCGACUGGGAUUGUUGUUGCUGGUAAAAUUGUUGUAGGAAUAUCAUCUGUGCUCCAUUUUUCA